AUUGAACGCUGGCGGCAUGCCUUACACAUGCAAGUCGAACGGCAGCACGGGUGCUUGCACCUGGUGGCGAGUGGCGAACGGGUGAGUAAUACAUCGGAACAUGUCCUGUAGUGGGGGAUAGCCCGGCGAAAGCCGGAUUAAUACCGCAUACGAUCCACGGAUGAAAGCGGGGGACCUUCGGGCCUCGCGCUAUAGGGUUGGCCGAUGGCUGAUUAGCUAGUGUGUGGGGUAAAGGCCUACCAAGGCGACGAUCAGUAGCUGGUCUGAGAGGACGACCCGCCACACUGGGACUGAGACACGGCCCAGACUCCUACGGGAGGCAGCAGUGGGGAAUUUUGGACAAUGGGCGAAAGCCUGAUCCAGCAAUGCCGCGUGUGUGAAGAAGGCCUUCGGGUUGUAAAGCACUUUUGUCCGGAAAGAAAUCCUUGACUCUAAUACAGUCGGGGGAUGACGGUACCGGAAGAAUAAGCACCGGCUAACUACGUG
RNAcentral lists this ribosomal RNA (486 nucleotides) under uncultured bacterium. RNAcentral's name for it is "partial 16S ribosomal RNA". It matches the Rfam family "Bacterial small subunit ribosomal RNA", at positions 30 to 507 of the family's 1533-position model. The record is from RNAcentral.